AAACGACUCUCGGCAACGGAUAUCUCGGCUCACGCAUCGAUGAAGAACGUAGCAAAAUGCGAUACUUGGUGUGAAUUGCAGAAUCCCGUGAACCAUCGAGUUUUUGAACGCAAGUUGCGCCCGAAGCCAUUCGGCUGAGGGCACGUCUGCCUGGGUGUCACGCA
This 164-nucleotide ribosomal RNA is filed under the name Cheirolophus mauritanicus. RNAcentral's name for it is "5.8S ribosomal RNA". It matches the Rfam family "5.8S ribosomal RNA". From Rfam's summary of the family: 5.8S ribosomal RNA (5.8S rRNA) is a component of the large subunit of the eukaryotic ribosome. It is transcribed by RNA polymerase I as part of the 45S precursor that also contains 18S and 28S rRNA. Lineage: Eukaryota; Viridiplantae; Streptophyta; Magnoliopsida; Asterales; Asteraceae. The record is from RNAcentral.